CUUGAUAAAAAAAUUUCUUUAAGGGAUUUAAGAUUUUUUAAAAACGUUUUGAAAAACUCCCCUUAAACUCUACAUGGUAAAACUCUUCAAUUAAUGCAUCCUAAUCCAACACAACACAACAAGACAUAUAUUAGCCAAAUAUAUUAAGUAAGCACAAUCAAACAUAUACAUAUCAAGCACAAGCGAAUUUAUCCAUAUGAUAUUUCUCUCUUUUUGUCAUAACAAAAAGGCAUGAACAAAUAUAUUCAUGAAACAUUUCUCUCCUUUUUUAUUUAAUCUCUUUAUACCAAAUAUUAAAGCUCCUAUACUAAUAGUUAUAAACAUACAAAAAGAAAUAUUUAUAAACUCUCCCAUUUUUUUAUCAUUGUAAAAGAAAAAAAGAUCACUUCAAGAAAUGGGAUAACAUGCUUGAUACCAAUAAUAUCAAGAGCAUUUUGAAUGCAUGUAAUCAAGUGUCAUAUACAUAAUAAAGUUCACAAACAUGUACUCAAGUACAAAAGCACAAGUGUAUCCAAUUAAAAUGUUAUAGCACAAAAUCAUUCAUUCAACCUAACCACAUAAAAUAUAUGAGCAAGAAAUAAUAAAUGAUAUGCAACAUACUCAUAAAUCAUG
This 612-nucleotide long non-coding RNA is filed under the name Durio zibethinus. Its description in RNAcentral is "long non-coding RNA (DZIB_LNC002030)". Lineage: Eukaryota; Viridiplantae; Streptophyta; Magnoliopsida; Malvales; Malvaceae. The record is from RNAcentral.